AGGGACAACACACACCUAUCCUACACCAUUCAUCCUACUAACUCUAGUAAGCAAGUUUGGAAGUAAGCUAAUUUGGUAUAUAAACCAAAGAGCUACAAGGAUAAUUCUCUUCCUCUUACUCCACCCUCUUCCACCUCGGUUCUUGCUCCACUAAGCUCCAACUUGACAGCCAAGGAAACCUGCAGUGUUACCAACAAAAGAGGAUUAGAAGUUGUCAACAAAAGAGCUAAGACCUAAGCUUUCACAAAAGUAGUAAGAUGGGGAGUGCAACAUAUCAACCAAUCUGCCAAGUCCAAGAAAAGGACAAGAACCAAGAUAUCCUCACAUCUCUCCACUAGAAUUUGAGAUAAUAGAAUCUUCCAUGAGAAGCCAUCGCCUAAGCCCACAAUAGAGUAGGCAGAUUCUCUUCUUCCAUCAUCCAAGGCUGGAGAAACAGCCAAGAUACUAGCCUCCAAGAUAUACACAAGAAUAGGCAUGGAAACCUACUUACAAGCUUAAAAGAGGUAGAGCUGGCAGCCCCAAAAAUAGGAGCCUUUUUCUCCAAGUUUCAAACACAAAUAGCCAGAGCACUAUAUAAGCAGCCCCAUCUCCCUUCUCAUUCCCUCAUUUUCGAUACCACAAAUUCACUCAAAAUAAUUCAAGAAGCACAACAAGGAGUGGAGGAAGUUGAGGCAGGACAUCAGUCCCCAUCCGAGAGGAAUCAUCAAGCUAGGCUAUCUCUACGAGUAAAGGCGGAGUGAGGAAAAAAUCAAUUUAAGGAGUUAAGCGAAUGAGGUUGAGCAGUGAUGACGGCGGGCGGUGUUGAGCACAGACGAUGAAGAUCCUUCGAUAGAACAAUACUUGGAUGCGUCGUGUCUCCAUACACGAUGUCAUCUGCUCUUGAGUCUUCUGCUGCAAUGUAAAAGUCGAGAUUUCAUCCUCUUGUGCCAUGCACUCUGAUUUUUAUAUAUAUUCCAAGUUAUUUCAGUUCAA
Molecule: long non-coding RNA, 972 nt
Organism: Salvia hispanica
Lineage: Eukaryota; Viridiplantae; Streptophyta; Magnoliopsida; Lamiales; Lamiaceae
Source: RefSeq, a predicted model, not a curated record